CCUACGGGAGGCUGCAGUGAGGAAUAUUGGUCAAUGGCCGGAAGGCUGAACCAGCCAUGCCGCGUGAAGGUCAGUGCCCUAUGGGCGUUAAACUUCUUUUGUGCGGGAGCAAUAAUGGUCACGUGUGGCCAGACGAGAGUACCGUACGAAUAAGCAUCGGCUAACUUCGUUCCAGCAGCCGCGGUAAUACGGGGGAUGCAAGCGUUAUCCGGGUUUUGUGGGGUUAAAGGGUGCGUAGGCUGGGAGGUAAGUGAGCUGUGGAAUGCCCUCGCUUAACGGGGUGAAGUGCAAUUGAUACUGCCUUGCUGGAAUGCGGAUGCGGUGGGAGGAAUGUGUGGUGUAGCGGUGAAAUGCAUAGAUAUCACACAGAACACCGAUUGCGAAGGCAUCUCACGAAUCCGCGAUUGACGCUGAUGCACGAAAGCGUGGGUAUCAAACAGGAUUAGAUACCCGGGUAGUC
Molecule: ribosomal RNA, 460 nt
Filed under: uncultured bacterium
Lineage: Bacteria
Description: partial 16S ribosomal RNA
Rfam family: Bacterial small subunit ribosomal RNA
Source: RNAcentral